UGUCUGUAUGAGUAUGUAUGCCUGCCCUUGUGAGGAAGAGAACAAUUUCUGUCCUGGGUCUCCUCGACAGACAAUAAAGUCUGAUUUGAUGAAGUUCCAGAUAGACGGACAAAAAGCAGGGGAGGUAAGUGCGAAGCUUGUGGCAGGGAUUAUCGGACCUCAGACUGUAGAUGCGAAACAAGGUUCAAAGCUUCGAUUCAAAGACCGAUCAUCAGAAAUCGCUGAUGCAAGCAUUUCUGCUGGCACACAGAUAGCUUUGUACAAGAAUGAGGCUGAAAAAUUUCCUGUCUGGAAAUAGCACGAAUGUCAUGACUAUGCAAAUUUUCAUGAAGAUUCAUGCACUUUAUUAGUGGAUUUCAUGCACGAGCAGUAUAUCCUCACAGUAUUACCUACAUCACUUAUAACUUUUAUAAGGCUGUAAAAUAAAAUCAUCAAUUUUGAGGGGUCCAAAUUUUGUUUGCCCAUUUAAAAUCAAAGCAAAUAUUGAAACCACUAAAUUUUUCAAAAUAUGCAUACAAUAGUAGGAAAUUGUAUCAUUCUGUAGGGUACAUUGAAAAUGGUGGCAAUUCUCAAUGUGUGAAAUAAAAAAAGCCACAUUGUAUCUUUUUGUGAGUCAUGUGAUCAGCAGAUACAACAAAAGAGAACCCUUGAAUUUAUCUGUGUUAAUCCCACCUUGACCAAGCUAAAAUCUGUCUUGAAGAGCCCCAAUUACUGUGAGCACUUGAUAGUAUAUCAUUUCCUAACUUGAUUAUUUUACACACAUCUUCAAUAACACUUUCUGCUAAGUAGAAAGUUACAGGAGAAUUAUCUCCUGGACAGACGGGGAAAGCAAAAAUAAGACUGGUCAAAGAAGCUGGAUUCUAAGAUGCAAUUUUUAUUUUUAUAUUCUGCAUGUGGCUUAAGUGAAGGGUAUCUGCUUUUUAAGACAAAUUGAAAUGCUCAUUAAUUUUCCUUUCAAUGAAAUCACAGGUUUAAAGGUAAUGUUUGGAAGAAAUUAUAAUGAGGCCUUAAGUGAGAAAAGCUGUUGUAUUAUGUAUCAAGACCAUUCUUUUGUAUCCAAGGACUAAAUAGUUUACGCUCGCUGAACUUACACUUGCUACUGGAAGUGAAAGGACCAAUCUAAAUUCAGGCACACUGUUACACUGUGAAAUUGGCACCUUUAAUCACUGAGACAAACAAUCUGUAUUACAAAGAUCAAUAUUUUAGUGAACUACACUAUGUUGUUAAGAUGUUUGGUGAGAAGCAAUUCAGUGUACAUUGAUCAAUGCACAUAUGCUCUCUCACUCAUACAAACAGCGAUAAAGUACAGUCCAGUUCAUAUAAAGCAUGGGCUGCACAGAAAGAUUUUACCCUUAAAAAGACAACACAACUCUAAAAUUUUCACCAUUCAUCCUUGUGCAAAAAAGUCCAGAUUUAAAAAGACUUUGUCCCUGUUUAAUGCAGUUCAGCACACAUAGGAAAGAACUUGCUAGUUACCAUAUCAGUGGUGUCUGAAAAUGCUUUCCUUCCCAAAUAGCACCUUAUCCAACACUGAAAGUGUAACAUAGCUUCACCAUCACAAUCUCAAAUAUAAACAGUAGGAUAUUUCACAGGAAAUGCCUUCUGUUCUUACAUCAUACUAUAACAACAGCCAAUAUUCCUUCCUCCCAGUGUUGAGAGAUGUUUGUAUUAAAAAAAUGUUACUCUUAGACUGAUGACAAAAAAUAUUUCAGUAUCGAUGGUACCUAUAUAACAAGAAACAUGCAGGAGAAUCAAACUGAAGGGCAUUUUGCCAACGAUGCUGAUGUCAACAUACCACUGUAUGCUGUUUGACAUACAACA
This 1821-nucleotide long non-coding RNA is filed under the name Pomacea canaliculata. RNAcentral describes it as "uncharacterized LOC112564272". Lineage: Eukaryota; Metazoa; Mollusca; Gastropoda; Architaenioglossa; Ampullariidae. The record is from RNAcentral.